RNAcentral lists this ribosomal RNA (48 nucleotides) under Lactarius austrorostratus. Its description in RNAcentral is "partial 28S ribosomal RNA". The record is from RNAcentral. Lineage: Eukaryota; Fungi; Basidiomycota; Agaricomycetes; Russulales; Russulaceae. RNAcentral also lists the same sequence under 1 other name.
UUGACCUCAAAUCGGGUGAGACUACCCGCUGAACUUAAGCAUAUCAAA